This 588-nucleotide ribosomal RNA is filed under the name uncultured bacterium. Its description in RNAcentral is "partial 16S ribosomal RNA". It matches the Rfam family "Bacterial small subunit ribosomal RNA", at positions 355 to 937 of the family's 1533-position model. The record is from RNAcentral.
UGGGGAAUUUUGGACAAUGGGCGAAAGCCUGAUCCAGCCAUGCCGCGUGCAGGAUGAAGGCCUUCGGGUUGUAAACUGCUUUUGUACGGAACGAAAAGACUCUGGUUAAUACCUGGAGUCCAUGACGGUACCGUAAGAAUAAGCACCGGCUAACUACGUGCCAGCAGCCGCGGUAAUACGUAGGGUGCAAGCGUUAAUCGGAAUUACUGGGCGUAAAGCGUGCGCAGGCGGUUAUAUAAGACAGAUGUGAAAUCCCCGGGCUCAACCUGGGAACUGCAUUUGUGACUGUAUAGCUAGAGUACGGCAGAGGGGGAUGGAAUUCCGCGUGUAGCAGUGAAAUGCGUAGAUAUGCGGAGGAACACCGAUGGCGAAGGCAAUCCCCUGGGCCUGUACUGACGCUCAUGCACGAAAGCGUGGGGAGCAAACAGGAAUUAGAUACCCUGGUAGUCCACGCCCUAAACGAUGUCAACUGGGUUGUUGGGUCUUCACUGACUCAGUAACGAAGCUAACGCGUGAAGUUGACCGCCUGGGGAGUAUCGGCCGCAAGGUUGAAACUUGAAAGGAAUUGACGGGGUCAUAGCUGUUUCC